RNAcentral lists this long non-coding RNA (611 nucleotides) under Homo sapiens (human). RNAcentral describes it as "HSALNT0152456". Lineage: Eukaryota; Metazoa; Chordata; Mammalia; Primates; Hominidae. The record is from RNAcentral.
GCCACCCCCUCCCCGCCCAUGCAUGCGUUCAUGAACAAAACUCCAGACUAACAGUAUGAAUGUUCUAUAGGGACCCCAAAACUCAAAAUGUGGUGCUCUCAGUAAAGAUCCUCCGGGGGAAGAAGAGGCGGAUGGGUUUCACUGCAAGUGGAAAUGAAUCGAAUCGAAACUGUUCUGCCUACUUAAGACUGGAGAUGAGCCCUGUGGGGCUAGAAGCCGAGACCGGCAGGUGACCGAGGGCCUGGAGGCAAGAGACGAAGGAGGAGGCACCCAGAGGCUGAGAAAGGUCUGUGCCGCCGGGGAGAAGACAGCCAGAGCCCGUGGCCACCUCUACAGCUGAGGUGGUUCUCUUUCCUGCUGAGUUGUGAAGAAGGUGCCUGCUUCCUCUUGCACCGUGAUUGUUAAGUUUCCUGAGGCCUCCCCAGCCAUGCAGAACUGUGAGUCAAUUAAACCUCUUUCCUUUAUAAAUUACCCAGUCUUGAGUAUUUCUUUAUAGAAGUAUGAAAAUGGGCUAAUACCCCACACGUUAUACCAAAGGGAGUGAGCCUGUUCAAACCUCGCUUGGGUUUGCAUGUCAUUAUCUCCUACGAUGGGAACUGUUGCAAAAAAAA